UCUUCAAUAGGUUAUUUAAAACUGUUGUCUUGUGGAGACAGAGAUUCGUUGUGUGUGAUUGAGGAA
RNAcentral lists this transfer RNA (66 nucleotides) under Haplorchis taichui. RNAcentral describes it as "tRNA-His". The record is from RNAcentral. Lineage: Eukaryota; Metazoa; Platyhelminthes; Trematoda; Opisthorchiida; Heterophyidae.